UGAAUACGAGAUGCUACGGCGUCGAAGCAGUGUAUGUCAGACUUCCAAGAAAAGCUCGCAAUGUCAUAAAUAAAGAAUGCCUGUACCAUAACCGACACAGGUGGGUAGGUAGAGUAUACUAAGGGGCGCGAGAUAACUCUCUCUAAGGAACUCGGCAAAAUAACUCCGUAACUUCGGGAGAAGGAGUGCCUUCUUUAAGAAGGUUGCAAUAACAAGAUCCAAGCAACUGUUUAUCAAAAACACAGGUCUCCGCUAAGUCGUAAGACGAUGUAUGGGGGCUGACGCCUGCCCAGUGCCAGAAGGUUAAAGAAGCUGGUUAGCAAUAGCGAAGCUGGUGACUGAAGCCCUGGUGAACGGCGGCCGUAACUAUAACGGUCCUAAGGUAGCGAAAUUCCUUGUCGGGUAAGUUCCGACCCGCACGAAAGGCGUAAUGAUUUGGAUACUGUCUCGGAGAGGGACUCGGUGAAAUAGACUUGUCUGUGAAGAUGCGGACUACCUGCACCAGGACAGAAAGACCCUAUGAAGCUUUACUGUAACCUGAAAUUGAAAUUGGACAUUAUUUGCGCAGUAUAGGUGGGAGGCGUUGAAAGUAAUCUUGCGGGAUUAGUGGAGCCAUCAGUGAGAUACCACUCCUAUAAUGUUAGAUUUCUAACUUUGGAUCAUGAUCUGGUCAAAGAACAGUUUCAGGCGGGCAGUUUGACUGGGGCGGUCGCCUCCCAAAUGGUAACGGAGGCGUACAAAGGUUUCCUCUGAACGGGUAGAAAUCGUAUCUAGAGUGUAAAGGCAUAAGGAAGCUUGACUGUGAGACCUACAAGUCGAGCAGGGACGAAAGUCGGUCUUAGUGAUCUGACGGUGCUGAGUGGAAAGGCCGUCACUCAACGGAUAAAAGUUACUCUAAGGAUAACAGGCUGAUCUCCCCCAAGAGUUCACAUCGACGGGGAGGUUUGGCACCUCGAUGUCGGCUCAUCGCAUCCUGGGGCGGUAGUACGUCCCAAGGGUUGGGCUGUUCGCCCAUGAAAGCGGUACGCGAGCUGGGUUCAGAACGUCGUGAGACAGUUCGGUCCAUAUCCGGUGUAGGCGUUAGAAUAUUGAGAGGAGCCUUCUCUAGUACGAGAGGACCGAGAAGGACAUACCUCUGGUGUACCAGUUAUCGUGCCAACGGUAAACGCUGGGUAGCUAUGUAUGGAGAGGAUAACCGCUGAAAGCAUCUAAGUGGGAAGCCCACCUCAAGAUGAGUAUUCUCA
This 1244-nucleotide ribosomal RNA is filed under the name metagenome. Its description in RNAcentral is "bacterial LSU rRNA". It matches the Rfam family "Bacterial large subunit ribosomal RNA", at positions 1564 to 2816 of the family's 2925-position model. The record is from RNAcentral.